UCGAGAAUAGUCUACAAUGGACGAAAGUCUGAUAGUGCGACGCCGCGUGAACGAAGAGACCUUUCGGGGUGUAAAGUUCUUUUCUGUGCGAGCAGUGGUGGUUACAGUAAUAUGGUGAUCACUUUGAUAUUAGUACAGGAAUAAGCCACGGCUAACUCCGUGCCAGCAGCCGCGGUAACACGGGGGUGGCAAGCGUUGUCAGGAAUUGCUAGGCGUAAAGGGCAGGUAGGCGGAUCAGUAAGUCGGACGUUUAAUCCUCGGUCUUAAGCUGAGACAUGCGGUUGAUACUGUUGAGCUAGAAUGCGGCGGGGGAAGACGUAAUUCCGGGUGUAGCGGUGGAAUGCGCAGAUAUCCGGAACACCGAAGGCGAAGGCAGUCUUCCAUACCGUAAUUGACGCUGAACUGCGAAGGUGUGGGGAUCAAACA
Molecule: ribosomal RNA, 426 nt
Filed under: uncultured prokaryote
Description: bacterial SSU rRNA
Rfam family: Bacterial small subunit ribosomal RNA
Source: RNAcentral